Molecule: ribosomal RNA, 550 nt
Filed under: uncultured bacterium
Lineage: Bacteria
Description: bacterial SSU rRNA
Rfam family: Bacterial small subunit ribosomal RNA
Source: RNAcentral
UAGGGAAUCUUCCGCAAUGGGCGAAAGCCUGACGGAGCAACGCCGCGUGAGUGAUGAAGGUCUUCGGAUCGUAAAACUCUGUUAUUAGGGAAGAACAUAUGUGUAAGUAACUGUGCACAUCUUGACGGUACCUAAUCAGAAAGCCACGGCUAACUACGUGCCAGCAGCCGCGGUAAUACGUAGGUGGCAAGCGUUAUCCGGAAUUAUUGGGCGUAAAGCGCGCGUAGGCGGUUUUUUAAGUCUGAUGUGAAAGCCCACGGCUCAACCGUGGAAGGUCAUUGGAAACUGGAAAACUUGAGUGCAGAAGAGGAAAGUGGAAUUCCAUGUGUAGCGGUGAAAUGCGCAGAGAUAUGGAGGAACACCAGUGGCGAAGGCGACUUUCUGGUCUGUAACUGACGCUGAUGUGCGAAAGCGUGGGGAUCAAACAGGAUUAGAUACCCUGGUAGUCCACGCCGUAAACGAUGAGUGCUAAGUGUUAGGGGGUUUCCGCCCCUUAGUGCUGCAGCUAACGCAUUAAGCACUCCGCCUGGGGAGUACGACCGCAAGGUUG